GGAGCUGCUGUCCGACCUCCGCCUGCAGCUCCACGUCUCCAGCGACGAGCACCUGCAGGCGAUUUGGCGUCUCAAGGGGAAGAAGUAAAAAAAACUGCAGGCGUUUCAAUUCAACGGCGGCUAUUGCUGAUUGCUGUAGUUUGUAACCUGUCAAUCUGUGAUAGAUUACUACUGUACGUAGUUGUGAGUGUCAAGUCAGUCAUCAGUUGACUGAAUUUGAUUUGGAUCUCAGUCAAAGUUUGAUUUUGAUUCAGUCAAAUUUUGAUUCUGAAUUUGGGUCCCAGCCAUCGAUCAGUUCCAGCUUAAUUUCAAACUUAUUGCCGAUUGCUAUAUAAUUUGUCACCGGUGAUAUAUAGAUCAUUGUAGUUGGGAGUGUCUAAUGAUCAUUAGACUGAAAUUGAUUUGGGUCUCAGUCAAAUUGUGAUUUUGAUUGCUAGUUUGUCACCCGUGAAUCUGUGAUAGAUUACUAUAGUUGGGAGUGUCAGUCAUCAGUUGACUGAAUUUGAUUUGGAUCUCAGUCAUAUUUUGACUUUGAUUUUGGGUCUCUGUCAUGUUUUAACUUCCAAACUUAUUAUUGAUUGCUAGUUUGUCACCGGUGAUAGAUCAUUGUAGUUGGGAGUGUCUAAUGUAAACUUAUUAGACCAAGUUAGAUUUGGGUCUCAAUAAAAUUUUGAUUUUGAUUUGGAUCUCAGCCAAAUUUUGAUUUUGAAUUUGGCUCUCACUCAUCAGUUCCAACUUCCAAACUUAUAUCUUAGAUUCUGUGGCGUUUGGGAUAGCCCUGACGGUGGACUCAACCACUGAGAUCUUUAUAUUAGCAGCUCACCAAAUUGGAAGGCUCCAAAUAAUAGACAAAAUCCAAAAGUCUCCACAAAAAUGUAUGGAAAACUAAAGAAAAGAUUAGUAGAGCAGCAAGAAAAUAGUGAAAAAAUAGUGGAAACUGAAGAUUCAUCUGCUGAUGGAGAAGAUAGUUGACAUAUAUUGUGAUGUGAGUAUGUGACAAAGACCUGACAUAUUGUGAUGCAAAAUUCUUCAAUAAAGAGAAUGAUCAAAAGAUAAAGACCGAAGAAAGAGAAUGAAAAACAAACCCAUGACAAGGGAAAAAGAAUGAGAAAAUCAACUGAAGGUCUGAUGACUGGUAACAUAAGUAGACUGUCUAGGCUGAUACACUGCAUCCUACCAUAACUACAGCUGAAUAAUACACAUCCAAUCCAAUCCUAUUAACUUAGAAAUUUAUCUUCAAGUCAAUAGAGCAAGUUGGGUUAAAAAAUAGAGCCAUGGGUCAUAGAAAAUCAUGAAAGACAGAUACUCCGAUACAAGUGAUGGACUGAACAACGACUGAAGUAAUAAACUGAUGGAAUGAACAAAAUAUUCGAGCAUUGACUAGAACAUUUCCAGUAAAUCAGAAGUUCAAAAAGAUUAUCAAAUUCAUGAUGCAAACAUGAAAAACAUCUAUCAAUCAAGAGCAACGAGUGGGUCAAGAUUUGUGCUAUUUAAACAUAAUUGGCGCAAUUUGCAAAUAUUACAAAUGAUUUGCAUGGCAUUGUUUAGUUUCUCAAUAUUUACUGCAUUGACAAUACAUGCACAGAUGUUAUUACAGCCUUACAGGAAAAAAAGCAGAAAAUCUCAUUCACUUACAAGUUACACCAGGUUAAGAAAAGUUAGGGCCUCCAGACCGACGCCACUUACUGAGUUGCUGAGCUGAUAACAUCCUCAGAACCCAACAUGCACAGGACUGGCUAGCACAUAUUGUCUCAACUUGUGUCUCUAAAACUACAAAGAUCUGAUGGAGUUCCUCAGAUUCUCAGCAACUCUGGUAUGUCCUAGACAGUAUGACUUAUUCAGGUAUUGACGAAAGAACACCGGUAUUUUGUCAACCAAUUGAAAGGUCAGAAAGGAAAACAAUCAGACAAAGCAUACCAUAUAAUCAUUUUGUUCUUUAGUCUACCUACAUUUUUCUCGGCUAAUGUAUUGAUGCUACCACAAACAUGAGCAAAAAUGGCCUUUAGCUUCAAGAAAAGGGAUUAAUGCCGCAAAGUGCAAUAUGCAGGUGAGCAUCAGCAAAGUGAGGAGCAUGAGCACCGCAUCCAUGGUCUGGAGCUGGAGGCCUACGUGAGCGUCAUCAAGGCGUUCCACGCCAAGGGGCCGCUGACCUGGGCCAGGCAGGAGCUGCUGUCCGACCUCCGCCUGCACCUCCACGUCUCCGGCGACGACCACCUGCAGCUGCAGGUGAUAUGCCGUCUCAACAGCAAGAAGUAAACUGCAGCCGUUUCAACUGCAGUCUGUAACCAGUGAAUCUGCGACAGAUUACUGUAGUUGGGAGUGUCAGUCAGUCAUCAGUUGACUGGAUUUGAUUUUGAUCUCAGUCAAAGCUUGAUGUUGAUUUUGGGUCUCGGUCAAAUUUUGAUUCUGAACUUGGGUCUCACUCAUCAGUUCCAACUUCCAAACUUAUUGGCUGAUUGCUAGUUUGUCACCGGUGAUAGAUCAUUGUAGUUGGGCGUGUCUAACGAUCAUUAGACUGAAUUUGAUUUGGGUCUCAGUCAAAUUUUGAUUUUGAUUAUUGUAGGCCUGCUCUGGUUCCAAAUCCCAAACUUAGCUUUAAAUUCUGUCUGUUUGGGAUAAGCUAACGCCUGAAAACUGAAGUGAUCCACUCAAAAGCCACUGCUCUCUCUCUCUCUCUCCCCUUCUGCUCUGUUUAUUCGCACCAAAUCGGAAGGCAGCAAAAAACCGACAAAAUUGGAAUCCAAAAGCCCCCCAAAAAUGCAUUGACAACUGAAGAUUGUCAUCUGCAAAAUAGUGGAAACUGAGGAUUGUCAUCUGCUGAUGGAGAAAAGAUCUGGCAUACAUUUUGGUGAGAGAAGGAUGAAGUAAAUGCAUAAUACUUCAAUAAAGAGAGCGAGAAAAAGAUAAAGACUGAACAAAGAGAAUGAAAGCCAAACCCAAGACUGAAGGGAAAAAAGAAUGAGAAAAUGCACUGAUGGUCUGAUGAAUGGUAACAUAAGUAGACUGUCUGAUAGACUGCAUCCUGCCAUAACUACAGCAGAAUAAUGCACAUCCAGUCCUAUUAACGUGUAACUUCUUUCAAUUCAAUAAACAACAUACUAUAAGGAUAGUGAUGAAAAGGACAGCAAGUUGGGUAAAAAAUAGAGCCAUAGGCAUAGAAAAACAUGAUAGGUAGAUACUGGAAGCAGUAUGUAUAAUGAACUGAAGAAUAGAGGUACUAUAGGUUGAAUAGUGACACAGUGUAACGUAACUUGUAAUAAAGCAGUAUGAAAGGGUCAUGAUUUCCAUUGUUACACAUAGUUGGCGCAGUUUGCCAAUAUUACAACCGGUUGGCACGACAUUGGUCGGUUUCUCAAUAUUACUGCAUCGAUAAUGCACAGAUGUUAUAGCCUUAGAGAGAAACAGAAAACCUCAGUCACUUACACCAGGUUAAGAAAAGUUGGGGCACUUAUUCCAGACCCACGCCACUUAUUGAGUUGAUGAGCUGACAACAUUCUCAGAACCCAAGAUAUGCAGGACCGGGUGCACAUAUUGCCUCAGCUUGUUUUUUGGAAUGUAAAGGAUCUGAUGAAGUUCCUCAGAUUCGCAGCAGCUCUGCUAUGUUCAGGUAUAACCGCUGAUGAAAGGUCAGAGAGGACAUGGAUCAGAUGAAACAUAUAUCAUAUAAUCAUUUUGUUCUUUCUUGAUAAAUAAUCGACAAAAAAAGCGUUUUUUUAUAUAACCUGCUUGUUUUAUUAUAAUUAUAAGAAGUCCUAUAUGGAAAUGCCCGCUAAAGAGAAAAUCUAAUUGAUUGUCUCUCGGCCAAUAUCUAUUUUUAGAAAGAAAAAACAAGAAUUUUCUUCUUUUUUUAUUAACAUACAAGAUUUGCUCAGGUAAGUAGCCAAACAAAUAUUAGCUUUCGAAAAAUGUAUUAUGCUACUAUACAUAAUCAUACAACAUGAACAGAAAUGGCCUUCAGAAAAGGGAUUAGUGUCGCAAAGGAGAACAUGCCGGUGAGCAAACUAGGCAAAAUCAGAAACCCCAAUCCAUUUGAACAGAGAAACUGAGAGAACAGGGAUGAGACAUCUUUCCCCAUGAGCUUAGGGCGGCGCCGGCAGCUCCGGGCCACGUCUCGCCCGGCUGCCUUUCCCCAUGUCGCAUCCUUCUCUCCGCCGCGCUCAGAAAACAAAGGGAAUCGACCGCUGAGACCGGAGACAAACCUCCAGGAACGGGAAGAAGGACCUCCGGUGAGGCCCGACUUGACGGUGCCCGGCCUGUUGGCCGGCGCUCACUCUCCAGGGACGGGGAAAAGUAGCGGAGCGCCGCCCGGCACCUCGCUCCGGCACCACCAGACACGCCUUAUCCCUACGUCAGACAUGUCAUCAGUCCAAAUUUAUGGGCGGAGUUAGAUAAUUUGAAGAUCGAAAUACGUCACCAGUCCAUUGUCGUCCAGCCCGG
This 4437-nucleotide long non-coding RNA is filed under the name Triticum aestivum (bread wheat). Its description in RNAcentral is "long non-coding RNA (TAES_LNC000400)". The record is from RNAcentral. Lineage: Eukaryota; Viridiplantae; Streptophyta; Magnoliopsida; Poales; Poaceae.